UGGUCAGAACAUGCCAACCGAUGUUAGGAUAUUUUCUCAUUUCUGCAGUGUACUCAAAGAUUAAUAACCCAUCGGGGGCUACAGAACAUACACAUAUCAAACCCACGCUAACUGCAGCCAAUGUCCACCAUACUGAGAGCCCCUUUUGCCUCCCAGGUAGCAGGGAGGCUUGGAGAACUGGGCCAAGAGUUCUGGAGAGCUAUGUGCAGCCGGGAGCAGCCCUUGGCAUGCCUGCUACAUGCUGCUGUGCUUGGUGACACGGAUGCAUUACUCACCACCAGACAUAGGAAGGCUUAACAUAUACAGGGUAGCCAGGGCCAAAUUGGUUCCACAGGACUAAGGAGUGCUGUUUCGGGCUUCCCAUCUAAUUCCUGGGUCUCUUCCUGUCUUGGCCACAAAAUACAGAGGAUGCAAUACUCACUGAAGUAUCAAAUGAGCUAUCUGGAUCAAAACCCACCUUUUAUAGCUAUUUCCAAGGAUCUGAAGUUGACUAAUUGCUGUGACCCAUUUGACCCAUGGUGGGUCCUAAGAGGAUGCUGGCAGAAGAUUAAGAAAAGACAUAUAGAAAAAGGAAGGCUGGGAACACAUGGGACAUAGUUCUCUGAUGGAGACGCAGCAACAACCCAGUGUAGUUUGCAUAUUUAUGUGCAGUAAAAAGGGGAGAAACAUAUGAUGGGGUCCAAAGUGCAAAAUCUCAGUGUUUUGCUGAGAUCCCUGUUAUGCUGUAGUUCACAGAGAGGAAUACCAAGGCUGGACGCCUGCUGAUAUAACUUCUGGAACUUACAUUCUCAGAGUUAUCUAUUACUGCAUGCUUUUUGACGGAGAUGUCUGAGCACUGAGAAGAUAAGGCAUACCGAAGCUGCUGGCACUGAGAUUACCGUCAGUCAGCUGGCAUCUCCCUGCUUCUGGUCUGGACAUGUCUUACCUUCUCAUUUAUCCCCUGUGAUUAUGGCAGAAUAACACAACAAAGAAUUGUGUACUGUGAGUCACAGUAAGUAAAAAUGGAGCAUAAAUACUUUUCAUCUGCCAAGUAAGUAUUUUUAUUCCAUGAGCAUCGUGGUUUUUGUAUUUAAAAUGACAGAUCCUGUCACCAAAGGUCUUAAUAUUAUAUUGAAAAGAUAUCUGUAUUACAGCAGAGGUUAAAAAACUCAUUUAUUUAUAAGACUCUCAGGUCCUGGAGAGGUCUUCUGCCUCUUUCUCCCUGCAGACAGUUAAUAUCAUUGAAAAUAAAAAGUUGUUAUAUUAUAUGACAAGGCAUAGUGCUAUUAAAAAAAAACACAGGCUGGCCAGUGCCAGAAAUGUGCUCCAAUGCUGGUAAGCCCAUGGCUCUAAUUGGAAAAAGUAAGUAUUUUGCUUUUUUGUGAUUCUUUUUUUCUUGUGUUUCUGUUUUUCUCCCAUCCAGUUAAUUUGCAUUUUAGCAUGCAGCUUUGAUACAGUAAAAAGUCAUAAAACAAGUUGUAGGAAACACUUCGGACUUUAUUUUGGGGUUUCCAAUUCAAGAAAAAAUAAAACUACCCAAGGAGCAGAUGAAGGAGGAGAACUGAUGCUGGAGCCAGCUGGAGGGAUGGCAUUUCUUACCGAGGCUACAGAGAAGCUUGCAACCUUAGAAAGGCAAGAGACAGUAAACCAAAGGAGCUGGCUAAAUUGAAAAGGGAGGGUCAUUCACUCCCCUGCAGCUGGAGUGGCCUUUCAUUGCCUUCAUGCCUGAAGCUUUGGAACUUAGCUAAAAGAGUGAGGGGUCUCAGUGACUGACACUUAACACCUGCUGUACACAGGAUAGGUCACUGUGAUGCAGAGGCACUUUCACCUCCCAUCAGACACCCACUGGGAGUUCCUC
Cavia porcellus (domestic guinea pig) is the source of this 1837-nucleotide long non-coding RNA. RefSeq lists it as uncharacterized. Lineage: Eukaryota; Metazoa; Chordata; Mammalia; Rodentia; Caviidae. The transcript is spliced from 4 exons. The record is from RefSeq and is a predicted model, not a curated record.